This is a non-coding RNA of Kogia breviceps (pygmy sperm whale), 433 nucleotides long. The record is from RefSeq and is a predicted model, not a curated record. NCBI's taxonomy places the organism in Eukaryota, Metazoa, Chordata, Mammalia, Artiodactyla, Physeteridae.
GCUGAUCCCAGGCACCACAGACACGUCCAGGUAGCCGGGCAUCGCCUGGUAGGAGCUGGCGAAGCUGGGAUAGAAGGCGAACUCCUUGGCCCUAGAGGACAGGUCGUCACCCGGCAGGGCGCCCGACGGCUCGGGACUUGUCGGGCUUCCCGUGCUCAGUUUGGUGCCUCAAUAGAGGCACCCCUUUCCAGAGAGCAUCUCCGUGGGACUGAGGCAAGUUCCCUUUCAGCACAGGGCCUCCCUGAGGAGAAGAGGGGCUUUAUGCGGCCAAAAUUCAGCGACGAGCGGAAAGAGAGGGAAAAGUUCCCUUCGUCAAGGAGACCAGCCGAAGAAGAUGUAGGCCCCCCAGAGACCUGAGAGUGGGAAGGCUGGAGCCGAAAGUUCAGGACUCAGGGCGUUGAAAGCGCCAGAGAAGGGUCCGCAUGCUCUGAAC